GACGAACGCUGGCGGCGUGCCUAAUACAUGCAAGUCGAACGAACCGCGACUAGGUGCUUGCACUUGGUCAAGGUGAGUGGCGAACGGGUGAGUAACACGUGGGUAACCUACCUCAUAGUGGGGGAUAACAGUCGGAAACGACUGCUAAUACCGCAUAGGACAUAGGAUCACAUGAUCCAGUGAGGAAAGGUGGCGCAAGCUAUCGCUAAGAGAUGGACCCGCGGUGCAUUAGCUAGUUGGGAGGGUAAAGGCCUACCAAGGCGAUGAUGCAUAGCCGACCUGAGAGGGUGAUCGGCCACAUUGGGACUGAGACACGGCCCAAACUCCUACGGGAGGCAGCAGUAGGGAAUCUUCCGCAAUGGACGCAAGUCUGACGGAGCAACGCCGCGUGAGUGAAGAAGGUCUUCGGAUCGUAAAGCUCUGUUGUUAGAGAAGAACAGCGCAUAGAGUAACUGUUAUGCGUGUGACGGUAUCUAACCAGAAAGCCACGGCUAACUACGUG
Molecule: ribosomal RNA, 502 nt
Filed under: uncultured bacterium
Lineage: Bacteria
Description: partial 16S ribosomal RNA
Rfam family: Bacterial small subunit ribosomal RNA
Source: RNAcentral